This 217-nucleotide long non-coding RNA is filed under the name Elaeis guineensis (African oil palm). RNAcentral's name for it is "long non-coding RNA (EGUI_LNC065881)". Lineage: Eukaryota; Viridiplantae; Streptophyta; Magnoliopsida; Arecales; Arecaceae. The record is from RNAcentral.
GUGCCAAAGUUAGAUGGCUCUAGUAAUGUGUGCAUAUUUUUAACAUAUCUAUCUAGGUCAAAAUCAUCCACUCCAAAAGGAUCUCAACAUGUAUGCACUGGAUCCUGAGAAAUUCUUUUAGGGUAGCUUCCUUUAUUGUAUCUUUUAGGAGUGAGCCAUAUGGUAGAAUUGGGUUGCUCUGAUUAUUUUUUUUAUUUAUUUAAAAGUAGAGGGAGAG